GACGAACGCUGGCGGCGUGCUUAACACAUGCAAGUCGAACGCGCCUGUCCUCUGGGUUUCUGGGGGGUGGGUGAGUGGCGAACGGGUGAGUAACACGUGAGUAACCUGCCCCCUUCUUCGGGAUAACGGUCUGAAAGGGCUGCUAAUACCGGGUAUUCACUGGUCUCCGCAUGGGGUCUGGUGGAAAGGUUUUUUUCUGGUGGGGGAUGGGCUCGCGGCCUAUCAGCUUGUUGGUGGGGUGAUGGCCCACCAAGGCUUUGACGGGUAGCCGGCCUGAGAGGGUGACCGGUCACAUUGGGACUGAGAUACGGCCCAGACUCCUACGGGAGGCAGCAGUGGGGAAUAUUGCACAAUGGGCGCAAGCCUGAUGCAGCGACGCCGCGUGAGGGAUGGAGGCCUUCGGGUUGUGAACCUCUUUCGCCCGUGGUCAAGCCGCGACGUGGGUCGUGGUGAGGGUAGUGGAUAAAGAAGCGCCGGCUAACUACGUG
Molecule: ribosomal RNA, 488 nt
Filed under: uncultured bacterium
Lineage: Bacteria
Description: partial 16S ribosomal RNA
Rfam family: Bacterial small subunit ribosomal RNA
Source: RNAcentral